GAUGAACGCUGGCGGCGUGCCUAACACAUGCAAGUCGAGCGAAAAGACCAGGUUCUUGCUCUUCUCGCGUUAGCGACGGACGGGUGAGUAACACGUGGCUAACCCUCCUCUUUGAGUGGGAUAACGUCGGGUAACGGGAGCUAAUACUAGAAAAUACAGUGAACCGCAGGGGUCAGUAGAGAUUGACGGUUUGGGGGUCACUUAUAGACUGAUCCGCGCGUCAUUAGCGAGGUGGUAUGGUAACGGCUUACCAAGGCAACGAUGCGUAGCCGACGUGAGAGGGGGAUCGGCCACACUGGAACUGAGACGCGGUACAGACUCCUACGGGAGGCAGCAGUAGGGAAUCUUCCGCAAUGGGGGAAAGCCUGACGGAGCAACGCCGCGUGGGUGAUGAAGGUCUUCGGAUCGUAAAACUCUGUUAGGGGGGAAGAACAAAUGUGUAAGUAACUAAGCACGUCUUGACGGUACCUAAUCAGAAAGCAACGGCUAACUACGUG
This 497-nucleotide ribosomal RNA is filed under the name uncultured bacterium. RNAcentral's name for it is "partial 16S ribosomal RNA". It matches the Rfam family "Bacterial small subunit ribosomal RNA", at positions 28 to 507 of the family's 1533-position model. The record is from RNAcentral.